ACUCUUGUUGCCCAGGCUGGAGUGCAAUGGCACAAUCUUGGCUCACUGCAACCAAGAGAAGAGGGGGAAAGAAAGGAGAAGGGGUGGAAGGAAGAUGGAAGAGCAGGAGCAGCUCCAAGAAAACUUUCCGCUUUGCCACCUGGAAUGUCCACCCAGGAUAAAAAGAUCCAAGCUCUUCUGAGACUGUCUUUUGACCUUCUAGAAUGCAGAGACAGGACGGGGAUUGUGCCCUGAAAGAUC
Molecule: long non-coding RNA, 240 nt
Filed under: Homo sapiens (human)
Lineage: Eukaryota; Metazoa; Chordata; Mammalia; Primates; Hominidae
Description: HSALNT0298737
Source: RNAcentral